CUCACAGCCAAAUGGUUAGCACCUGACUCAUAAUCAGGGAGUCCUUGGUUCAAGCCCAAGUGGGACCA
RNAcentral lists this transfer RNA (68 nucleotides) under Caudoviricetes sp. RNAcentral's name for it is "tRNA-Met". It matches the Rfam family "tRNA". Rfam says of the family: Transfer RNA (tRNA) molecules are approximately 80 nucleotides in length. The record is from RNAcentral. Lineage: Duplodnaviria; Heunggongvirae; Uroviricota; Caudoviricetes.